GACCCUUUGGCCAGCCCCUGUCUCCACGAGCUGGAGCUGGGCUUUGGGGUGGAGGGGACUUGGCUGUGGGACCCUCCAGCACUGGUGUCCUCCCCAGGGGGACCGAGCGCUCCCCAGGGAUCAGCAGUGUGAGGUCCUUGAUGCUGCAGCAGGUUUGUCACAGGUCCUGCUGAGGGUCCCCCCCAAGCGAACAGGAGAAAUGCACAGCAUUGUGCUACAUCACAGUUUCUAAAUCCUCCUCCCCAUCUCUAAUUAAGAUUCAAAUUGAGUAUAGAAAUCAUGUGUAAGUAAGAUGCUAAUUAUUAAAGUCAUUGAUCUCCCAGACAAUAAAGCAGACACGCUUUUCUGGCCUGCCCAUGUUUUGAGGUAGCUCUGAGCACACAGGAUCAUAAACGCCUGGGAUAUCUGGAAGGCACUUUGGAGAAAUAUUUAAGUGAUUGAUUUUGCGAGGAGGUGAAGUCCCCAUCUUGCUUUGAACAAAACCUCUUUGUGGCACCCCCAGCUCCAGCCGACCCCGUCCACACAUCUGGCUUUGGAUGUAACUCCCAGUUACAUCCAAACUCCAGCUCCCAGUAACGACAGCAGUGUUUGGAGAGACCAGGUCCCUGUGGGCAUCCUUGCAAGGACGCUGUCUGUCCAUCUUCUCCACACCAAAGCUGUCCCCGCUGUCACAAGGAAGGGAGGCAGCGCAUCCUGGCCGGGAUGCAGGAGCAGGGCUGAGCAGGUUUGUUCAUGAGCUAUAUAGCAAAUCCACAGGGCAGGAUGCAUAGAGGUUUGUCCUCCCCAAAUUAGACAACCUUCAUGGCUGAACAUCCUGCCUAGGAGUCAUGGGGCUUGGGGAAAAGGUGCACAUAGCUUGAAAAAAAUAUAUAUAAGGAUGUCUGAAAAAUUAGAGAGAAAAUUAUAUAGAAAGUAGAGCAUAAGCAGCAUGGAGCCAGGCUGCAAGGUGGGAGGGUGAAGGUGGCUGGUGCUUUAGAGGCUGCAGCAAAGGCAGAAUCCAGAGAAAGAAAGGGCUCGGGCUGCAGAAGAGAGGGAUGCUAGCCUGGCAACAUAAAGUGCAGCGCCACACUGCACCAAAAUGCUGGAAUUAACAUCAAAGCAAUCCUGGAGCAAAUGAGAUUACAGUAUGCAUGUUAAUGAGGCAGCAGCGCUAAUCAGCAAGGAUGCCUCGCUAGGAGGGCUGCGCUGCCAACUUGCGAUUUUUGUUGUCAGGCUGGACUGGGCUUCCAUUUGGAGUGAAGAUUUUGUUUGGUUUAAAAAACAUCAGUAUUUUUGUGGGGUUUCUGGCAAUUUCAGAUUUGAUUUCAUUUCUUCAAGUAGAUGUCUGGCCCUCCAGGGUACAGAGAAGAACUUGGAAAUGGGAUUGAAGUGGUCCCCUGAGCCAAACUGAAAACCACUCCAAAGCCAAGGAGCACAUGAAAGUUGCCCAAAAUGUAUUUUACUCUAUUUUUAAACCUCAUUAUUUUUAAGCCAACCUCACCAGCUUGCAGAGAGCUGAAUUCAUGGCUCUGCACGUAACAGGCAGUGUAUUUGUGUGUUAAGCUUUCCUAAGGAGUAUGAAGCCACUCAAAAUCCAAGAGGUCCAGCUCUGCUCACACUUGUAGCGGGAUUUUUCCCAGUGUCACAAGGCUGAUGACAGAGUUAUGCUUCACCAUUGAGCUCCAAAAACAGAGCCGUUUUAAAGUCAAGGCCCUUUAAAAAAUCACUUGCUUGGGAGUCAUGUGGCUUCAGGCAAAAACCUACGAAAGGGGCAGCCCCUCCCCAGGGAGGCUGAAUGGGGAGGGGGGCAAAGGAUGGCAGGAGGGUUAGGGUAAGAAGGGCAUCAUGAAGAAGGAAAGGAUUGAGAUAAGGAAAGGCAGAUAAGCUGCUCAAAAGAAUUAAAAGGGCAGGACCCGGGACAGAGGACAGGAUUGAGCUGUGUCUUUGCUACCACUGAGCUGCCUGAAACCUGGGAUGCUCCCAUAGGCCAGGGAGCAGAUUCAGCUUGGUCAGGGAACGUUUGAAGCAGGGUCAGGGAAAAGGGAAAACUUUCCGGAGCUUUUCAUCCAUCUCUGUGGCAAACUAAUGCCUUGGGAGCCAGAGGAAGGCGGAGAACCACCCGCAGCAGGGGAUGGGGACAUUGUAGCAUGUGCUAUGAAGGUGCGAACCAGGCUGGGGAACCAGCCCCAGCAUCCUCGCAGUCCCUCUUGAACCCUUUUUAUGGAAAGUGCUGUUCUGAUCUACUCCCUUUGCAAGGAAACUAGGCUUGUUUUGAUCUGUUUUUCAAACAGCCUUUCUUCUUGAUUGGAGAAAUUGGCUUAAAUGGGUCUCUUUCCCUUUUCUUAAGCAAAGCUGCAAUUCAUUUCUGCUUCCUUCUCUUUUCACUGAUAAUCUUAUUUGCUGAAGUCAUGCAUAAAACAGAAUUUGAGACAUUUGAGUGUUUACAGAGCAGAACACUGUGUUUUAUGUUUAAGUUUACCAUGCAAACACGUACAUUGUGCAGGUGGCUCUGAGGAAGGUGCAAUGGCGGAAGAGCUGAAACUCAGUUCCCAGCUCUUGUCCAGCUCUAAGGAAACACCUUCUCACUUUUUGAUUCAGCAAGGACAGUGACGUGGUUCGGCCUCACAGAAAUCUCACAUGCCUUAACGCUGAAAUGCUGCAGGAACCAGUUCCCAGAGCUGCAUUUCACUCGCUGCGUCUCCCAAAGGACCAGGCGAUUCAAGACACAACUCUAGCAGAUGGUUUUGGUGAUGUAAAGCACAAGGGGAUCGCUCCCAAGAGCUGCUGAGGCGGUGAAGUCAAAAAGGCGCUGAUGCGAGCGGCGUGCCACAGCCCCAUCCCGCCAGGGUCUGACGCUUUCUUCUGCAGCCUGCGCUGUCCCCACGGCCUCCGCAGCGAUUUAUACCCAGAGCUUGCUCUGCAUCUGAUCCAAAAUCUGCUGAAAUAUCCCUUUGCACAACCCACCACGAGAGCUGCACUAGACCGCGGGCAAUGCAAGCUGCAAUCUAGCUGGAGAUCAGGAGAAUAUUUUUCUUUCAUGUUUACAUGCUAUCAUGUAAAACCUUAACCUUUUGUCCAUGGCAAAUAUUGCCAAAGUUGUUGGAGACUGAGAAAAGCUAAUCCAUAUUUUGUCAAUAACAGUCCGAUAAACAAAAUUUGAGAACUAAACACAUUCUGUGCUUAGCAAAUGAAAAUUAAUUUCUGAUACAUGAGAAGUGACUUUCUCAUAAGAUUUCCCUUGCUUUACUGAGAUAGUCCAGAGCUAUAUUAGGAAAUACAAACAUUUUUCAGAAGAACUAUACAUAAUUCAUAGAGAAGCAGAUCUGAAUUAGCUGUAGCAUUGCACUGAGCUUUACGACAGUCCAUACGCCUCUCUCGCCCCAAAGCCUGGAUCUCAGCUGUGCACAAUGACUCUGCGCAUCUCUCUGAUGAAACUCUCUCCCAGCAAGAGUUAAACACAAGAAACCAGAACUGAUCCAUAAAUUAGGCCUGGCUAUAGGUUCAAAAUCAUAAGUUAUGGCCUAUUGACCUCAUAGUCUGAGGGGAAAUCAGAAGCAUUUUUCUAAAGAGCCACCGCUGGAGGAAGGCAGGUUUAAUAUAUGGCACAGCAGAGCACUGAUGCAAAUAAAUACAGCGCUGCAUAAUUGCAGGGAAAAAUCAAUACAUGGCAUGGUGGUUAAAAAUAAAGAUGUGCAUAUUGAGGUUUCUGGUUUAUAUGUGUGAAUGGCUUUUUCCCAAGAAGUGGAGGAAGAUUUUUUUCCUGCAUAGAGCCUUUAAAUACAACAAAGGCGACACCUCCACUGCCCCUUUUACGAGGAGCAAUUUUCAGCUAUUGUCUUCCUCGGAGCAGCUAUCUUGAGUCAGGAUUAUUAGAGUAAUUAAUAAGUGCGGUUUGCUCAUUUGAAAAAAUCCGGCAACGUUUGCCACUCAGGCAUCAUGUCAGUGCAAGACACGAAAAAUCGCUGUGACAACUGUUUUGCAAGUUACGGUUUUUAUUGACGAACACCACAAAGGGAUGAAGCCCAGAGCAAGUCCCUCUUCACUUUAAUAUUUAAACCUCUUUUAAGAGGACGUCAAUAUUAACUCUCAUAAUUGAUGCUGACAGUUGACUGUCUGACCAUAAAAAAAGACAAGCGAUGUAAUUAAAAAAAAAAAUUAGUAAUAGCAAAUGCAAUGUGCUGGCCAUAGUGAAGGACACUGGGAUGAGGGACUGAGGUUUCCUGCAUCUCUAAUGCCAUCGAUGGAGCUGGUGAUGCUGCCCAGGAAGGGCUGGGACCCUUUGGCCAAUGCUUUUAAUAACUAAAUUCCAUUUGUAGCUAGUUAACCUCCAGAUUUCCAGUAUUAAAGAUAUUUCCCACAGGAACCAGAGGAAUGGAUAAAGGCUAAGUUCAGGGAAGUCAAUGGGAAACAGCACAUGGCCCUUUGCAAAUCCCGAUGUGCGGGGAAAUUACCCAGCAAGUGCACUCUGCUCCAAAAAUAGUUAUUUAUUGGACAGAGCUUAUGAUUUUCAUUGAUCUUAUUCUGAGGAAGGAGUCUAUUGUUUGUGCUUAAACUUCAGGCUAAAAGGAGUUCAAAAUAUUAAACAACCUAAAGCUGAGUUUUAAGGCGAAGUGCUUGAUAACUUGAGGUGUGUUUAUCAUUGUUGCUGGGUCUAUAAUACAACCAGAAGGAAUUGGGCAGUAGAUCAUCACCUCCGUGGUUUUUAAUGGGGGUAUAGAGUAGUUUUGAUGUCUUUGAGUUCUACUAAUAUGCAGAAUACAGCAUAAAAUCAAAACCCGAGAGAGAACGUGGUUAGUAAAGCUGAUACUUUAAUUUCUUUAGUUUUAAACUUUUUGAAAUUAAAGGCAGGGAAACAACUACAAUAUCUUGUACACACUGAAAAAUUGAGCUGAGUUCACUACAGGGAAAAGUAUUUCAUUGAUAGAAAUCUGAGAUUUCUAAAGGGUGAGGUUUGAUUAAAAAAUUAAUCAGUGACAAUUCUCUUUUUCUCCCAAGCAGGUUGAACGGCUGAACAGACAGAAAUCUUUUAGAACUAACCCAAUGCACUUCAGUUAAGCUAUUUUAGGUACUUCCACUCUCACACUCAGCCUUAAACUGAAACCAGCAAAACUCCUUAGCAACCCUUUCCCAGCAAACACGCUCCUGCUCCAUAGGUAUUUAAGCAGGAUGUUCCAGCCCUUUUCUUUAUGCUCGUGAUGUUUUUUUCUCUGUGCUUUGGGUUUCUCCAGGCUGGUUUUUUCCUCCUUGCAGGGGAAGAUGCACAACAGAGGAAUUGGGAUUAAAGAAACAAUAAGAAGUUCUAAGCGCUGCCGUGCGGCAGAGAGCAGGUUACGGAUUUAGCACUAACAACAGAAAAAAAAGAAGAGCUUUGUAGCAAUUAAAGCUGCACAAAACCCACCAAACAUCAGAGAAAAUAAGGAGGGGGGGAAAAAUCAUUGUAGUAUUAUGAGUCUAAAAAAAAAUUAAUCAAUAUUCUUAUUGUUCCCUGCAAGAGUCUCACAAGGAGGGAAGAGCCAUUCCCAAAGUCUCAGGGCUGGCUGCAAAAUAAAAGAUUAGUGGUUAGAUCACUAUCAAAAUGGCAAUGGGAAGCUUUUUUUUCAAAGGUCUACUUAAAAUAAAGGUGUCCUGACUGGUACUGUGUUUAUAUUUAAAAGCAAGAGGACCACUGACAUGAACUAGCUGGCAGUCAAUGAGUGUGCUUUAAAUAAUUAUAUUAGUUUCUACAACAAAGAAUACUAAGUUAAAGCUGUAUCCAUGCGCACAUAUACGUGUGUGCACACGUGCUGGCAGGUUUCAUGCCAAAGGAAAAGGCUGCUGGACAAAUAUCAGUGAUAAAUGCAUCAGCUUCAUCUUAGAGCUAUUCUUUUCCAUUCUGGCAUCACAAAUAAAACACGAUGUGUACUGUAAUCCACCCCUUUGUACAGUAAUGCAUUUGUUACCACUAUGGCUCUUAUUUAAGCAUCUGACUACAGUAAUUGUUUUAUACAUUAACUAUACUCCCUGAUGGUUGCUCUAUUAUCAUUUUUUUUCCAAAAUGGGGCUUGCAGAUAUUAGCAGCUUGAUUACUUGUUUUAUUAACAAUUUCAACACUAUGUUAGUGUUGAUUUGGUGCUGUUGACACCGUGGAUGUGAUGGUGGGUUUGAGUUUCAGCCAUGCUUUGUUAUUUUGCUUUGUUACUUUGCUUUGCCUUUCUUAACCCAGCAAACCCGGCUUGGAAGCCAAGAGGAAUCUCAGUUUCAAUCCGAGUUGCGUGUUGACAAUCUAUACGAUCAAGACACUUGGCCACAGAUCAGCAUUUGCAUUCAGCUGGCCAUCAGGGCCAAAGCCACGCCAAAGUGGUUUGCAAAAAACAGGCAGAGAAAUGAUGGAUUAGAAACGGAGAGAAGGACGCACAAAAUCACUGCGAGGCACUGACAGGCGCUCCCAUAAACACUGUGCAUGUCUGCUUGCACAACUCAGAAUGGCAGGACCGAAUUUUAUAUGUUCAUGUACCAGUGCACCUUUUAUAGAUGAACAAUUCCUAGUGGCAAGUGGAAGGGGAGGAAAACGCUGGAUCCUGCAGCGCAAAGCGCCUUUGCUCGUGCAUCACUUCUGUCACCGAAAGGAAAAUCAGAGUCUGAUGCCAGUUAUUAAAUAUCUUCAUUAUAAGGGCAUUCCGUCCAGCUGACUUUCAAUUUUGUUGUAUCCAGGGGCCUUGUGUUAAUAACUGCAUACAAAGGACAAGUGUUCUUAAAAAACACUGACUAUUUAAAUUCUUAUAAAUAAUAUGCGGCUUCCCCAUUCUGACUGAUAGAUAUAUUGUUCAGCCAAGCCAUCAUAAAGGCAAUAAAUAUAUGUACUGUUAUGGGUCAUGAGUCUAAAAAUUAAAUCAAAUGCAGAAAUUGAGUCUUGACAGAAUCUGAAGGGAUAAUGUCUUAGCUUCUCCAAUUACACAGUUCAACAUUUGGAUAAAUCAUAUGAAAGUAAGUAUUUAGCCCCAUUUUUCAUAAUCACUAUUAAUGAGAACAAAAUGGGAGCUGAGGGCAGAGGGAGAGAGUUCUGACAAGAUAAAUAGCAUAUGGGGUGUGUUGUCAGCCACAGAAAAUCAAGGCUGUUUAAAGCCCCUAAACAGCAGAAAGGAAAAAAACAGUAAAAAGGAAAAAAAAAUAGAAUAGUGGUCAUGUGUUCUUAUCAGCGACAGUCGCUGUGUCAGGGCAUUUGAGAUGUGGCUUCCCAAACACGACACAGGGCACAGAAGUAUCAUCUAGAGCUCCCCAGGAUGGUGUGAAUGACUGAUAUGUAAUGCAUGUCGUUUAAGUAUUGCCUUUUCUCACCCUGUAAGCAGCACUUUAAAAUGUUGCUUAAAAACUUCCUUAUGAAAAAAAGCACAGAUUUUCCCUUCGGACUGGUCCCUGUGGGUCUAGGACAGGUGGCUAUAGACACCUUCAGUGGUCAUCUCUUUGUUUCAGGGCAAUAAAAACAUAGAGGAAAUUG
This is a long non-coding RNA of Columba livia (rock pigeon), 7453 nucleotides long. RefSeq lists it as uncharacterized. The transcript has 2 exons. Lineage: Eukaryota; Metazoa; Chordata; Aves; Columbiformes; Columbidae. The record is from RefSeq and is a predicted model, not a curated record.